ACCAGCUCGCUCCUAAGCACAGCCAAAAUCCUUCCCGGGCUAAGCCCAGUGUGGGGUUCGCCUGCCCUGCUUCAGACGGAUUGAAGAUCAGAUCAGAUACAGCGGAAGAAAGAACUACUGGACUGGAAGGCCCUGUGGAUAGAGAGUGAGACAGACAAGUCCCUGUCCUCAUGGGGCACACACUCAAGGCUUGGGGGCAUGGGGAGCAGAUCAUCAAUAGGAUGACACAGAAAGAAGCAUAUUUUAAUUUUGAUAAGCGGUACGAAGGAAUACAAUAAAUACAAUAAACACACUUGAUUUGUCAUGUUUGCCAAUUACCAACAUGACUCACCAGACGGAGAUGGGAAGAGAUGCCUGCAGCCCCCGGCGAGCGUUUCCUCCACGCAGUGAGCCUCAGGGACUCAGCACUCGGUUUAGGAAGAAGACACUUUUUUUUCUGGUUAUUGAAAUCUUCUUUUAAGAAGACACCUUA
This 472-nucleotide long non-coding RNA is filed under the name Homo sapiens (human). RNAcentral's name for it is "long non-coding RNA NONHSAT163075.1". Lineage: Eukaryota; Metazoa; Chordata; Mammalia; Primates; Hominidae. The record is from RNAcentral.